ACUACACGAAAUGUCUUCAAUGUCAACAUUAAUUGUCGUAACGAUGCUUAAUUUUACAUACGAUAAUUACUAUGUACGCAUUGUGUACCUAUACAGUGAUAUAGUUAGUUAUACCUAAGUAGUUAACUUUUACGUAAAUUUGAAAUGAUCACGUUUUGAUGCUCAUGGAUUUGGAUUUGGAGCAGGAAAAUAAGUACGCCAGACCAUUUAGUGGGACCUUUCACCUUGCCCGGCGCCUUCAAUGCUUAAAAUGAUCUAAAACGUCGACAUUUGAUGAAAAAAACCAAAACCAAAAAACGGUGACCGCAAUAGCCACCUAGCUAGCGCUAUAGGAAGCUACUAUAGGAAGCUAAAAAGCGUGCGAGGACGUUAAACGGUGAGGAGCGUUCUUUGGUCUGAGCUAGGAAGCUUUUCUAUCAAGAAUUUAGCACAUUUUUAUUAUUCUUUUUAAAAAGAGGGAAUUUCUUGUAAAAUGGUAUGUUAUUAUAAAAGUGACUUUUUGGUACGAGCAACAUCUUUUAAAGAAUCUUUUUUAUGAGUAGGUGGUUAACUGAUCGGAUUUGAAAAAUAAAAACAAUUCUGAAAACAUAAUGAACAUUCCUUUCGACCUAUCAAACAACAUUUACUACCUCUUCCCAUUUAAAAUUUUUGGGGUGCAAUUCAUCCUCUUCUCAGGGUUAAAGUUAUGUUAUCGAUUUCGAAGCUCACUUCAUCAUCAGACCUUGCGUCAUUUAAAUGCUGAAUGAAAAUGGGUACAUCUGUAUGAAGGAUCGUAUGAGUUACAUUAUAAACUGAUGGUAGGUGUCAAAGUAUACAAAGUUGGAAAUUAUUAAGGACGAGAUCUACGUUCCUGGCAGAACUGUCGUUAAGUGGGCAAAAUUGGCAUUGACUGUUUUCAGUGGGCCACCCUGUAAUUACUAAUAAGGUUAUAGUUUAAACUGUGUAGGUAUCUAUUUGUCUUGCUAUACACGGUUAUUCUAUCUUUUCUGAGUUUUUUUAUGUUAAUUUAAUUUUAUUUUAGGAUUUACUAUUAUUAUUUAUUACUCUGGAUAAUUAUUGCUACUUUUGAUAAUGUUUGCUAUUUUUGUUUUUUUUUCUCAUCGUUUAUUAUGGUACCUAGCUAUGUCAUUUUUCUACAUUGUCUUAGAAUUGGCGUGUUUUGCUGUUAGAUAAUAAAUUAAUUAUUAUUAUUAUUAA
This is a long non-coding RNA of Photinus pyralis (common eastern firefly), 1197 nucleotides long. RefSeq lists it as uncharacterized. NCBI's taxonomy places the organism in Eukaryota, Metazoa, Arthropoda, Insecta, Coleoptera, Lampyridae. The record is from RefSeq and is a predicted model, not a curated record. The transcript has 4 exons.